CCAGUUCCGAGUCCGAGAUCCGUGAAUAGGCGUAUUAGAAAAUCACUUAGAAUCAUGCCCAACUUCCGAAGAUUUAGCCUGUUAAUCGUCGUCGACGUAUCGAUUUUGGAUGUGAAAAUCACGUUACAUCCGUGUCUAUGCUUGGUACUCUCAUAACGCACACGGUUUGCUCGACAAAAUGCUUCAGAGAUAUUAAACAUUCUGAUGUGAUUUGUGCGAGAAAGAUUGAUUGGUUAGAUAUUAAAACUGACUCGAUGCACAGUGAGGUUGCGGAGAGCUUUACUGAGUCUUGUGUCCUUCCUUUUUUUGUUUCAUGUACUGUAUCUUCGACAAUGGCCUUCUGACGGUGAUCAUCGGCGAGGAAAAUGAGCGAGGUUUGCUGAUAUGCGCAGUAUCGAAUCUCCGGUAAUGUACUCAAUUGCCUGGAAUUCCCUUGGUAGUUCUUUGCUUUCUGUGUACGUUCUGCAAUAUGGAGACUGUCGUCGGAAGGCCGACGGAUGGAGAAGGUGGUUCGAAUUUCAAUCGAGAAGGGCUUGAUUGACUAGCCCAUCUUCAGCUUAUUUUUAUGUGGCCCAAAUCCGACUAUUUGCCCCAUGUGCAGACCGGCCCCAAGGGCCCAGCCUGUGUCCCAUGCUAUCAGAAUAAAAAAUAAACAAAAUUUAAAAUAAAUAAAAUAUAUCGAAAAUGAAAAUUUUUAAUAAUGAUUAUAAUUAGUUUAGUUUCAUUUAGUUAGCAUACAUAUAGUGUAGGAAUUCUAUUAAGUUUAGGAUUAGGCAGUUUAAUCUUUUAGAAG
This 793-nucleotide long non-coding RNA is filed under the name Eucalyptus grandis. RNAcentral describes it as "long non-coding RNA (EGRA_LNC006124)". The record is from RNAcentral. Lineage: Eukaryota; Viridiplantae; Streptophyta; Magnoliopsida; Myrtales; Myrtaceae.